ACUUCAGUUGCAGACCUUCAGUUACUUCAGUUGCAGACCUAGGACACCAAGGGGCCAAAUCCAAUUCUUAUACCAGAUUCCCUUUUACCACCAGGCUACCUGUCAUGGCAAUGGUUUGGCAAGAUAUCUGUCUAUAUUAAAUGAAUGCUCUUUGGGGAAGUGUAUUUGAUUGCUAAAGUGGGAUGGUUGGGAGAAUUAUACCAACAUAGAAAGGAAAAUUUGUUGCUCUUAAAUGACAGACCUUGAGAGCUUCCCUAAACCCCAGUGUUAAAUGACACCUCAUUGGCUAUGGUAAUGGUGUCCACAAGCAACAUUCCCUACCAGGAGGCUGAUGCAGAUCCAGUGGCGAAACAUCUUGGAAGGUUAGACAAGAUAUCAAGGCAUGAAACUCCCAAGUACUGCAUCAUUGACAACUGAAAUUGCCUAAGUGUGAGAUCAUACUUCUGCCUGAAAACUUGCAAGAAUAUCUUUGGCAUGAGUGUCAGUGGGAUGACCAGAUAAAAUGGAGCCAAUGAGAUCAGAAAAUGAUCAAAAUUUGGCAAAAUGGGAAGCAAGAAGCAAUUUGCAAACAGGGAAAUCAAACAGUGCCACAUCAAAAUAAGAGGGAAGGAAAUCCAGCAGCUAAGCAGGCCACACAGUUCCCAGACAGAGGUAAACUUCUUUUCUGGCUGAAGCCCUGGUUACGGGAAACAGUGUCUUCUGAAACGACCAGUUUUGUGCAAAGUAUGAUGCGUGAAUAACAGACAGUAGGAAGGACAAUGAAAACAGCACGAGAGAUGAAGCGACUGAAUGUCAUCAGAAUUGUGCCCAUUUCUCCAAACUUUUGGGCUGAUGUGCACCAAGCACAGUGCCUGACGAAGUACACACUCAGUGACUAGUGAAUGGAUGACUGAAUGAAAGAGUGAAGAAGUGAGACUUCCCAACAACUCCAUACAGAACUGGACCAACUGCUUCCACAGCUCAUCUUGGUCAAGUCUGAUUCCCAUAGGUGGCAUGACCGAUGGAGAUGCCCCUGGCAUCAGUGCCUCCUCUUUCCCUUUGGUCCAGGUCACACUUUCAAUUCAAGGUUCCUAAAUGCUGAUAUUAUUUUACUGUUAUAAAAUUUAGGAGAAUAUGAAAAAAAUACAUUUUCUUCAUAAUAUUAUAGAUUAAUUUCCUCAAUUUUAUGCCACUAUGGUGGCCUGAUCUUAAAUUUUCCAUACAGGUCUACUUGAAAAUUUACUCUAGGGUUCCUUUGUGAUCUCAUUCAACCUGCCGGACCAUCCUAGCUCUACAGUUUGCACCCCCAACAUCAUACUCUGAAACCCUCUCAUCCUUGUGCUAGCUUUAUUUGUAGUCAGAGUAGUUUGUGGUCUAUAUUUUAGCGCAAGGGAAACUCUACUAUCCAUUUUCUAAGGCACAAGUUGAUCUUAUGCUUAAGAGUCCAGCACAAAGAAGCAUUUCUCUGCAUUGACUUUCCCUUUUCAUGAGCUCUUCAAUAAAAUGGGUUAACAAAUG
Molecule: long non-coding RNA, 1497 nt
Organism: Pan troglodytes (chimpanzee)
Lineage: Eukaryota; Metazoa; Chordata; Mammalia; Primates; Hominidae
Exons: 6
Source: RefSeq, a predicted model, not a curated record